RNAcentral lists this ribosomal RNA (252 nucleotides) under uncultured bacterium. RNAcentral's name for it is "partial 16S ribosomal RNA". It matches the Rfam family "Bacterial small subunit ribosomal RNA", at positions 524 to 776 of the family's 1533-position model. The record is from RNAcentral.
UACGUAGGGGGCAAGCGUUGUCCGGAAUUAUUGGGCGUAAAGCGCGCGCAGGCGGUCAUGUAAGUCUGGUGUUUAAACCCGAGGCUCAACUUCGGGGCGCAUCGGAAACUGGAUGACUUGAGUGCAGAAGAGGAGAGUGGAAUUCCAUGUGUAGCGGUGAAACGCGUAGAGAUGUGGAGGAACACCAGUGGCGAAGGCGACUCUCUGGGCUGUAACUGACGCUGAGGCGCGAAAGCGUGGGGAGCAAACAGG